This 1600-nucleotide long non-coding RNA is filed under the name Androctonus crassicauda. Lineage: Eukaryota; Metazoa; Arthropoda; Arachnida; Scorpiones; Buthidae. The record is from RNAcentral.
GCUGUCUAGAUAUAUAAGACCUUUUAUUUAUAUAUAUUAUUUAUUAGAAAUAAUUAUCAAAUACAACUUGAUUAAUUAUAAACUCAACAUUAAUUAUAAACAUGAUUAUAUUAGUACAUUAUUUAUCCUCUUGCAAUAUUCUUUCGAUCAUCUCUAAAUUCUCCCGUGUUUGUUGUCUGGUCUGCAAUCUGUAUCUUCUUUGUGCUGUUUCUUGAGUUUGGUUUAUUUCCGCGUGUAGUUGUCUUCUGCUAUCGUCGUCCGGUAUCCUGUUCUGUAUUGUUGUUGCUACUACAUGUCUAUACUGUACUGUGUUUAAAGGCAUAUCUGUUAAACCUUCUCUGACAAUUGUACGUUUAAUGAAUUGCAAAGGUCGCUGUAAUGGUGUACCAUCUGUAUUAAGGAAAAAGUGAUCUGUUUUGGGAAAGCGUAAUGGUCGUAUUUUGGUAUAGUAAAAAUGGAAAACAGAUUGAUAAAAACGGAAAAGAGAUUCAUACAGUGUACUACAGAGACUAAACGAUGCCUGAGAUGUCUGCAUAGAUUUGAUUUCUGAUAUGAAAUAAGUUUGAGACGGAUAUCCUUCUUCGUAUUCUGAUAUUCUAAAAUUUACAACAGUUUGAGGGCGAUGUCCCAGAUGAAGUAUACAGCCGGCCAUGUACGAUACUAGAAUUUGAUAUUCGGUAGUUGAUACUGUAUCCUGUUUUAGUAUUUGUUCUAUACGGGGCUUUCAUCCAUUCAAACUGUUGUAUAUUUCUAGUGUCUGCAAUUCGAGUAUAUUCUCUACGGCGUUUCACUGCUUUUUCUCUUUCGGUUAAUUGUUUUCUUCUGGCCAUAUGUUCGCAGAUUUCGAGAAUUAUCUUCCGUGUAUUUUCUGUCUGGUAAUUUCUAUUGCAAAGGUAACUGAUGAAACGUUUAAUACCGUUGAUCCAUACAGUCAAACUAUCUCCUUUUAGACCACAUUUUAUUAAUACAUUAAAUGCAUCUGUUACAUUUGCUUCAUUAAAUGGUUCUGCUGGAUUAUGCUUGAUUAAGUAAUUAUAAAAUUUCCGGACAUUAUUAUACAGUUGUUUGGUUUUUUGUGUUAAUUCCCCUUCUGCCAAAAAUAAUAAUUCUCUGAAUCCAAAUACUUCCGGUAACGUUUCGGAUAUUGUGUCGUACAUGCCGACUGUUUUUAAUUGAUGUGCUACGGAAUAUAUUGGAUAACGUAUUUUUUUCGGUGUCAGAGAAGGAUAAGUACAUGUAGGUCGAACAGGAGAUCGCAGAAGAGGCUCUGUAGGAGGAGACGUAGAUCGAAUAGGAGACUCUGUAUGAGAAGAAGAUGGAAUAGGAGUUUCUGCUGGUGUUUCUGUGGUAGGAUUAGAGGUUGGCAAAUACAGUUUUAGAAUUAAUAAAUCGUCAGAAUCUCGGUAGAAAUGAAUAUAAUUAUUUGAGUAGCUGUAACGAAAUUUCGUGUUUAUCCAGGUUUGCGUUAAUGCCAGAAGGAAGGUAUAAAUAUAGGAAGUAAAAUCAUGGAUGGCCAUACAGUGACGUCGAUAAUGAGUUGUGUGUACCUCGCAUUUAACUAUUGAACACUGGGUUAUUUUUUCUUUAGGCAUCUGUAAAU